UAUAAAGAUCCUACAUUGAGUGUAA
This 25-nucleotide microRNA is filed under the name Bombyx mori (domestic silkworm). Its description in RNAcentral is "bmo-miR-3410". The record is from miRBase by way of RNAcentral. Lineage: Eukaryota; Metazoa; Arthropoda; Insecta; Lepidoptera; Bombycidae.